RNAcentral lists this long non-coding RNA (5293 nucleotides) under Actinidia chinensis (golden kiwifruit). RNAcentral's name for it is "long non-coding RNA (ACHI_LNC000051)". Lineage: Eukaryota; Viridiplantae; Streptophyta; Magnoliopsida; Ericales; Actinidiaceae. The record is from RNAcentral.
UUUCAAGCUCAAGUUAUUAGGGUAUUAGUAGUUAUGGCCGUAUGUUGUACUUUGUCUUUUUCAAAUUAUGCUAAUUUGAAUUUUUGAGUAAUGAGUUGUGACUAUUUUGCAUUUAUUUUGUUUAGUGAGGACUAUUGCUAUUGACUAUCGGACUCAAGUGGGUGUACCGUGCUAAUAGCGAUGCCUAGGCCCAAGUACUCUCAAAUCCAUAUCUCCGCGCCUUUGAAUGUUGUGGUACGUAACUGUGGCUUUAAAUUUUGUAUAUUUAUCUUGGGCCUUAAUUAACCUGAACUUGAAGUUCCCCGGGUUCAAUUUCAAGCUCAAGUUAAUUAGGUAUUAUUAGACAAGGCCUUAUGUUUUAAAUACGCUUUGGCCCUUUGUCAAAAUUAGCUGAUUUGAGUUUUUUGUGUAAUAUGUAGUGACUGUUUUUGCAUUUGGUCUGUUUUGCGAGGACUUUGCUAUUGACUAUACCCGUAUUCAACUUCAAGUCGGUAUUUAGGUACUUGUUUUUGUUGUUAUUAUUUUAUGUUGUUUUUUUAUUUAUAGCAUGAUUUUAAUGUUUGAGUACGAGUGAGUGACUGCCUUUGCUUUUUUGUUUUGUCGAGGACUAAUACUGUUGACUAUCGGGUUUAAAUUUCAUCAGCUCAAGUGUAUUAGGGUAAUUAUUAGUUAUUUCCGUAUGCUUUACUUUGUCUUUUUCAAAUAUGCUAAUUUGAAUUUUUGAGUAAUGAUUUGGCUGACUAUUUUCAUUGAUUUUUUGUUUAGUGAGGACUAUUGCUAUUGACUAUCCGGACUCAAGUUGGUGUUACCGUGGUAAAGCGAUGCCUGGCCCAAUACUCUCAACCAUAUCCCACCCUUUGAAUGUUGUGGUCGUAACUGAUGGCUUAAAUUUGUUGUCAUUUAUUCUUGGGCCUUAAUUAACCCUAACGUGAAUUUCCCCGGUUCAAUUUCAAGCGUCAUGUUAAUUAGGAAUUAUUAGACAAGGCCCUUUAUUUAAACUUUGUCCUUUUUACAAGUUAUCUGAUUUGAGUUUUGUUGUGUAAUAUGUAUGACUGUUUUUGCUUUGUUUUCGUUUUCGAGGAACUAUUCUCUUGACUACCGGAUUCAACUUCAGCUCGAGUUAUUUUAGGUACUUUUUGUUAGUACUUUAUGUUGUUUUUUUAUCUACAAGCAUGAUUUUAAAAUGUUUUGAGUAACGAGUAGUGACAGCUUUUUGCAUUUUGUUUUGUUUUGGCGAGGACUAAUACUGUUGACUAUCGGUUGUUAAUUUCAAGCUCGAAGUUAUUAGGGUAUUAUUAGUUAUGGCCGUUAUGUUGACUUGUCUUUUUCAAAUAUGCUAAUUGAUUUUUGAGUAAUGAGUUUGACAUUUUGCAUUAUUUUUGUUUAGUGAGGACUAUUGCUAUGGACUAUCGGGGACUGGAAUCAAGUGGGUGUACGUACUAAAUAGCGAUGCCUAGGCCCAAGUUCUCAAAUCCAUAUCUCCGCGCCUUUGAAUGUUUGUGGUACGUAACUGUUGACUUUAAAUUUUGUAAUUACUUGGGCCGUAAGUUACACCUGAACUGGAAGUCCCGGGUUCAAUUUCAAGCUCAAGUUAAUAGUAUUAUUAGACAGGACUUUAUGUUGUACUUGUAUUUUAAAAUUAUGACUGAUUUGAGUUUUUGUCUGUAGUAAGAUGUAGUGAACGUUUUUGCAUUGUCGUUUGCGAGGACUAUGCCCUAUUGACUACCGGAUUCAACUUAAAGUGCGAGUUAUUUAGGUUAACUUUUUGUUAGUACUUUAUGUGUGUUUUUAUUUAGAGACAUGAUUUAUGUUUGAGUAACGAGUAGUGACUGCUUGCAUUUUUUUGUUUUGCGUGAGGACUAAUUCUGUUGAAUAGUCGGGGUUUAAUUCAAGUCAAGUUAUUAGGGAUUAGUAGUUAUGGCCGCAUGUGUACUUGUCUUUUUCAAAUUAUGCCUAAUUGAAUUUUUGAGAGUAAUAGUGUGACUGUAUUUUGCCUUAUUUUGUUUAGUGAGGACUAAUGCUAUUGACUAUCGGAUCAAGUGGGUUUGUACCGUGCUAAUAGCGAUGCCUAAGGCCCAAAGUACUCUCAAAUCCAUAUACUCCGCGCCUUUGAAUGUUGUGGGGAGUACGUAAUGUGCUUUAAAUUUUGUUAUAUUAUCUUUGGCCUUAAUAACCUUGAACUGGAAGUUCCCGGGUUAAUUCAAGCUCAAGUUAUUAGGUAUAUUAGACAGGCCUUAUGUUGUGUACUUGUCUUUUUAAAAUUAUGCUGAUUUGAGUUUUUGUGUAAUAUGUAGUGACUGUUUUGCAUUUGUUCUGUUUUGCGAGGACUAUUGCUAUUGACUACCGGAUUCAACUUCAAGCUCGAGUUAUUUAGGUACUUUUUGUUAGUACUUUAUGUUGUUUUUUAUUUAUAGCAUGAUUUUAAUGUUUGAGUAACGAGUAGUGACUGCUUUGCAUUUUUUUUGUUUUGCGAGGACUAAUACUGUUGACUAUCGGGUUUAAUUUCAAGCUCAAGUUAUUAGGGUAUUAGUAGUUAUGGCCGUAUGCUGUACUUUGUCUUUUCCAAUAGCUAUUUGAAUUUUUGAGUAAUGAGUUGUGACUAUUUUGCAUUAUUUUGUUUUAGUGAGGACUAUUGCCUAUUGAUAUCGACUCAAGUGGGUGUACCGUGGUAAUAGCGCUGCCUAGGACCAAGUACUCUCAAACCAUAUCUCCACGCCUUAAUGUUGUGGUACUUAACUGUGGCUUUAAAUUUUGCUAUAUUUAUCUUGGGCCUUAAUUAACCUGAAACUUGAAGUCCACGGGUUCAAUUCAAGCUCAUUUAAUUAGGUAUAGUGACACGGGCCUUAUUAUUAAAAUUUGUCUUUAAAAUUAUGCUGAUUUGAGAUUUGGUUAAUAUGUAGUGACUGUUUUGCAUUUGUUCUGUUUUGCGAGGACUAUUGCUAUUGACUACCGGAUUCAACUUCAAGCUCGAGCUAUUUAGGUACUUUUUGUUAGUACUUUAUGUUGUUUUUUAUUUAUAGCAUGAUUUUAAUGUUUGAGUAACGUGUAGUGACUGCUUUGCAUUUUUUGUUUUGUUUUGCGAGGACUAAUACUGUUGACUAUCGGGUUUAAUUUCAAGCUCAAGUUAUUAGGGUAUUAGUAGUUAUGGCCGUAUGUGUACUUUGUCUUUUUCAAAUUACAGCUAUGUUGAAUUUGUGAGUACUGAGUUGCUGACUAUUUGCAUUGAUUUUGUUAUUUGAGGACUAUUGCUAUGACUAUCGGACCUCAAGUGGGUGUGUACCGUGCUAAUAGCGAUGCCUAGGCCAAAGUACUUCUCAAACCCAUAUCUCAAAGGCAUUUGAAUGUUGUUUUUACGAAACUGUGGCUUAAUUUUGUAUAUUUAUCUUGGGCCUUAAUUAACCUGAACUUGAAGUUUCCCGGGUUCAAUUUCAAGCUCAAGUUAAUUAGGAAUUAUUAGACAAGGCCUUAUGUUAAACUUUGUCUUUUUAAAAUUAUGCUGAUUUGAGUUUUUGUGUAAGAUGUAGUGACUGUUUUGCAUUUGUUCUGUUUUACGAGGACUAUUGCUAUUGACUACCGGAUUCAACUUAAAGUUCGAGUUAUUUAGGUACUUUUUGUUAGACUUGAUGUUGGUUUUAUUUACAGAAUGAUUUUAAUGUUGAGUAACGAGUAGUGAUGUUGCAUUUUUUUUUUUUGUUUUGCGAGGACUAGUUCUGUUGACUAUCGGGUUUAAUUCAAGCUCAAGUUUUAGGGUAUUAGUAGUUAUGGCCGUAUUAGGUUGUACUUUGUCCUUUUUCAAAUUACGCUAAUUUGGGAAUUUUGAGUAUGAGUUGUGACUAUUUUGCAGUUAUUUUGUUAGUGAGGACUAUUGCUAUGAACUAUCGGACUCAAGGGUGCUUGUACCGUGCUAAUAGCGAUGCCUGGGCCCAAGUAUUCGCAAAUCAAUAUUCUCCGCGCCUUUGAAUGUUUGUGGACGUAAAUGUUGCUUUAAAUUUUGGAUAUUUAUCUGGUCCUAAUUAACCUGAACUUGAAGUUCCCGGGUUGUUCAAUUUCAAGCUCAAGUUAUUAGGUAUUAUUAGACAGGCCUUAUGUUGUACUUUGUCGGUUUUAAAAAUUAUGCUGAUUUGAGUUUUUGUGUAAUAUGUAUGUGUGACGGGUUUGAUUUUGUCUGUUUUGCGAGACUAUGCUAGACUACCGGAUUCAACUAAAGCUCGCGAUUUAGGUACUUUUUGUUAGUACUUUAUGUGUUUUUUAUUUAUUGCAAUGAUUUUAAUGUUUGAGUAACGAGUUAGUAGUGACUGCGUUUGCAUUUUUUUUGUUUUGCGGAGGAGGACUUAAUAAUGUUGACUAUCGGGUUUAAUUUCAAGCCUCAAGUUAUUAGGGUAUAGUAGUUAUGGUCCGUAUUGCUGUACUUGUCUUUUUAAAAUUAUGGCUAAUUUGAAUUUUGAGUAAUAGUAAUGAGUUGUGGACGAUUUUGCAUUAUUUUGUUUAGUGAGGACUAUUGCUAUUGACUAUCGGACUCUCAAGUCGGGGUGUACCGUGGUAAUAGCGAUGCCUAGCCCAAGUACUCUCAAACAUAUCUCCACGCCUUUGAAUGUUGUCGGUACUUAACUGUGGCUUAAAUUUUGUAUAUUUAUCUUGGUAGCUUAAUUAACUGAACUUGAAGUUCCCGGGUUCACUUUCAAGAUCAUGUAAUUGAGGUAUUAUUAGACAAGGCCUAUAUAAACUUUGUCUUUUUAAAAUUAUGCUUGAUUUGAGUGUUUGGGUAAUAGCGUGACGUUUUGCAUUUGUUCUGUUUUGGCGGACUAUUGCACUAUUGACUACCGGAUUCAACUUCAAGCUCGAGCUAUUAGGUACUUUUUGUUAGUACUUAGUGAUUUUUAUUUAUAGAAUUGAUUUUAAUGUUUGAGUAACGAGUAGUGAUUGACUUUGCAUUUUUUUUGUUUUGCGAGCGGACUAAUUCUUGUUGACUAUCGGGUUUUUAAUUUCAAGCUCAAGUUAUUAGGGUUAUUAGUGUUAUGGCCGUAUGUUGUACUUUUGUCGUUUUCCAAUUAUGCUAAUUUGAAUUUUAAAGUAAUGAGUUUGUGACUCUUUUGCAUUUUUUUUGCUUAGUGAGGACUAUUGCUAGUGACUACGACUCCAGCAGUGGGUGUCCGUGCUAAUAGCGAUGCCUAGGCCCAAGUAACUCUCAAAUCCUAUCUCCACGCCUUUCAUUGUUGUGUGUACCAAACUGUGGCUUUAAAAAAUUUGUAUAUUUAUCUUGGGCCUUAAUUAACCUGAACUUGAAGUUUCCCGG